This 384-nucleotide ribosomal RNA is filed under the name uncultured bacterium. RNAcentral describes it as "partial 16S ribosomal RNA". It matches the Rfam family "Bacterial small subunit ribosomal RNA", at positions 355 to 734 of the family's 1533-position model. The record is from RNAcentral.
UGGGGAAUAUUGCACAAUGGGCGCAAGCCUGAUGCAGCCAUGCCGCGUGUGUGAAGAAGGCCUCGGUUGUAAAGCACUUCAGCGAGGAGGAAGGUGGUGAACUUAAUACGUUCAUCAAUUGACGUUACUCGCAGAAGAAGCACCGGCUAACUCCGUGCCAGCAGCCGCGGUAAUACGGAGGGUGCAAGCGUUAAUCGGAAUUACUGGGCGUAAAGCGCACGCAGGCGGUUUGUUAAGUCAGAUGUGAAAUCCCCGGGCUCACUGGGAACUGCAUUGAAACUGGACAAGCUAGAGUCUCGUAGAGGGGGUAGAAUUCCAGGUGGUAGCGGUGAAAUGCGUAGAGAUCUGGAAGGAAUAUCGGUGGCGAAGGCGGCCCCCAUGGAC